RNAcentral lists this non-coding RNA (84 nucleotides) under Geosporobacter subterraneus. RNAcentral's name for it is "c-di-GMP-II sequence". It matches the Rfam family "Cyclic di-GMP-II riboswitch aptamer". Lineage: Bacteria; Bacillati; Bacillota; Clostridia; Peptostreptococcales; Thermotaleaceae. The record is from RNAcentral.
UCCUAAAAGGGAGACGAAGAUACAUGGCCUGAAGCUGGGCACCUAGGCCAUGAAGAGUCAGUGGUGCAACCGACCCAAUUAGCA